Molecule: long non-coding RNA, 674 nt
Organism: Lytechinus pictus (painted urchin)
Lineage: Eukaryota; Metazoa; Echinodermata; Echinoidea; Temnopleuroida; Toxopneustidae
Exons: 3
Source: RefSeq, a predicted model, not a curated record
UCGUUAUUCAUGCCUACAUGAGCUGCAUACAACUGCUCUAAUCGGUAGGAUGUGGACGGACAUUGCAUUCAUUCCCAUUCAGCCGUUGGACUGAACCUGUACUGUCUGUAACACAGUAUGGAUGGUCAAUAUGAAGCGAGCUUCAUUGAAUUUCUCCAAGAGCUCUGUACUCCGUUCUGAUCAUUUUGAAGAUGGUUGCUUUGACAGGACUGGGCAAGUGACUCGUCUUAGACAGGAUGCUGUCCCAACCAUGUUUGAUUUCCUGUCUCGUCUUCAGAAGAAUUCACCAAACCAAGGAAUUCCCCGAAAGAAAGAUGUUUUGAUUCAGCAAACAACCUCCCAGAUACUGCAAAGACACCUGUACCAAAGUCUUCAGCACCUUUAUUUCUCAAGGACCACUCCUACUCAAUAUCAGAAAGUCCAAGAGGGGUAAAGUGGAAGUUAACAGCAAUAAUGGACUGUAUUAAGAACUUGGAGAAGAGGCUGAAAACCACACACGAGAAGUCCCGCCGUGUACAUUACUUGCUCUUAAGUUUGGACAAACAUAACCUGCAAAACUUUACAACAAAUAAUUACCCCAAUGUGCAUUCUGAUUAUUUAAAAUAGCUCAAUGAAAUAGUUUAUCAGUGGGCAUGUAACAAAAGUGAAUUCAUUAAAUUUGAACGUGUUGCAAA